RNAcentral lists this ribosomal RNA (690 nucleotides) under uncultured Acidobacteriota bacterium. Its description in RNAcentral is "bacterial SSU rRNA". It matches the Rfam family "Bacterial small subunit ribosomal RNA", at positions 15 to 715 of the family's 1533-position model. The record is from RNAcentral. Lineage: Bacteria; Pseudomonadati; Acidobacteriota.
GAUCCUGGCUCAGAAUCAACGCUGGCGGCGUGCCUCAGACAUGCAAGUCGAACGAUUAAGACUCCCUUCGGGGAGUGUAUAAAGUGGCGCACGGGUGAGUAACACGUAAGUAAUCUACCUUCGAGUGGGGAAUAACGUUCGGAAACGAACGCUAAUACCGCAUAAUGCAGCGGCAUCGCAAGAUGACAGUUGUUAAAGGAAUUUAUUUCGCUUGAAGAGGAGCUUGCGGCAGAUUAGCUAGUUGGUAAGGUAACGGCUUACCAAGGCUACGAUCUGUAUCCGGCCUGAGAGGGCGGUCGGACACACUGACACUGAAUAACGGGUCAGACUCCUACGGGAGGCAGCAGUCGGGAAUUUUGGGCAAUGGGCGAAAGCCUGACCCAGCAACGCCGCGUGAGGGAUGAAGUAUUUCGGUAUGUAAACCUCGAAAGAAUAGGAAGAAUAAAUGACGGUACUAUUUAUAAGCUCCGGCUAACUACGUGCCAGCAGCCGCGGUAAUACGUAGGGAGCAAGCGUUGUUCGGAUUUACUGGGCGUAAAGGGCGCGUAGGCGGCGCGGUAAGUCACUUGUGAAAUCUCUGAGCUUAACUCAGAACGGCCAAGUGAUACUGCAGUGCUAGAGUGCAGAAGGGGCAAUCGGAAUUCUUGGUGUAGCGGUGAAAUGCGUAGAUAUCAAGAGGAACACCUGAGG